GACGAACGCUGGCGGCGUGCUUAACACAUCCAAGUCGAACGGAAAGGCCCUGCUUUUGUGGGGUGCUCGAGUGGCUAACGGGUGAGUAACACGUGAGUAACCUGCCCUUGACUUUGGGAUAACUUCAGGAAACUGGGGCUAAUACCGGAUAGGAGCUCCUGCUGCAUGGUGGGGGUUGGAAAGUUUCGGCGGUUGGGGAUGGACUCGCGGCUUAUCAGCUUGUUGGUGGGGUAGUGGCUUACCAAGGCUUUGACGGGUAGCCGGCCUGAGAGGGUGACCGGCCACAUUGGGACUGAGAUACGGCCCAGACUCCUACGGGAGGCAGCAGUGGGGAAUAUUGCACAAUGGGCGGAAGCCUGAUGCAGCAACGCCGCGUGCGGGAUGACGGCCUUCGGGUUGUAAACCGCUUUCGCCUGUGACGAAGCGUGAGUGACGGUAAUGGGUAAAGAAGCACCGGCUAACUACGUG
This 468-nucleotide ribosomal RNA is filed under the name uncultured bacterium. Its description in RNAcentral is "partial 16S ribosomal RNA". It matches the Rfam family "Bacterial small subunit ribosomal RNA", at positions 28 to 507 of the family's 1533-position model. The record is from RNAcentral.